This 484-nucleotide ribosomal RNA is filed under the name uncultured bacterium. RNAcentral describes it as "partial 16S ribosomal RNA". It matches the Rfam family "Bacterial small subunit ribosomal RNA", at positions 30 to 507 of the family's 1533-position model. The record is from RNAcentral.
AUUGAACGCUGGCGGCAGGCCUAACACAUGCAAGUCGAGCGGAUGAAGGGAGCUUGCUCCUGGAUUCAGCGGCGGACGGGUGAGUAAUGCCUAGGAAUCUGCCUGGUAGUGGGGGAUAACGUCCGGAAACGGGCGCUAAUACCGCAUACGUCCUGAGGGCGUAAGUGGGGGAGCUUCGGACCUCACGCUAUCAGAUGAGCCUAGGUCGGAUUAGCUAGUUGGGGGGGUAAAGGCCUACCAAGGCGACGAUCCGUAACUGGUCUGAGAGGAUGAUCAGUCACACUGGAACUGAGACACGGUCCAGACUCCUACGGGAGGCAGCAGUGGGGAAUAUUGGACAAUGGGCGAAAGCCUGAUCCAGCCAUGCCGCGUGUGUGAAGAAGGUCUUCGGAUUGUAAAGCACUUUAAGUGGGGAGGAAGGGCAGUAAGUUAAUACCUUGCUGUUUUGACGUUACCAACAGAAUAAGCACCGGCUAACUUCGUG